Molecule: ribosomal RNA, 462 nt
Filed under: uncultured bacterium
Lineage: Bacteria
Description: bacterial SSU rRNA
Rfam family: Bacterial small subunit ribosomal RNA
Source: RNAcentral
CCUACGGGAGGCAGCAGUGGGGAAUAUUGGACAAUGGGCGCAAGCCUGAUCCAGCCAUACCGCGUGGGUGAAGAAGGCCUUCGGGUUGUAAAGCCCUUUUGUUGGGAAAGAAAUCCUAUCGGUUAAUAACCGGUGGGGAUGACGGUACCCAAAGAAUAAGCACCGGCUAACUUCGUGCCAGCAGCCGCGGUAAUACGAAGGGUGCAAGCGUUUCUCGGAAUUACUGGGCGUAAAGCGUGCGUAGGUGGUGGUUUAAGUCUGCUGUGAAAGCCCUGGGCUCAACCUGGGAAUUGCAGUGGAUACUGGAUCACUAGAGUGUGGUAGAGGGAUGCGGAAUUUCUGGUGUAGCAGUGAAAUGCGUAGAGAUCAGAAGGAACAUCCGUGGCGAAGGCGGCAUCCUGGGCCAACAUCUGACACUGAGGCACGAAAGCGUGGGGAGCAAACAGGAUUAGAUAUCCCUGG